Molecule: unclassified non-coding RNA, 200 nt
Filed under: Scedosporium boydii
Lineage: Eukaryota; Fungi; Ascomycota; Sordariomycetes; Microascales; Microascaceae
Description: partial internal transcribed 2
Source: RNAcentral
UCAACCCUCGAACCUCCGUUUCCUCAGGGAAGCUCAGGGUCGGUGUUGGGGCGCUACGGCGAGUCUUCGCGACCCUCCGUAGGCCCUGAAAUACAGUGGCGGUCCCGCCGCGGUUGCCUUCUGCGUAGUAAGUCUCUUUUGCAAGCUCGCAUUGGGUCCCGGCGGAGGCCUGCCGUCAAACCACCUAUAACUCCAGAUGG